This 75-nucleotide transfer RNA is filed under the name Candidatus Pacebacteria bacterium CG_4_10_14_0_2_um_filter_40_20. RNAcentral describes it as "tRNA-Glu". It matches the Rfam family "tRNA". From Rfam's summary of the family: Transfer RNA (tRNA) molecules are approximately 80 nucleotides in length. Their secondary structure includes four short double-helical elements and three loops (D, anti-codon, and T loops). Further hydrogen bonds mediate the characteristic L-shaped molecular structure. tRNAs have two regions of fundamental functional importance: the anti-codon, which is responsible for specific mRNA codon recognition, and the 3' end, to which the tRNAs corresponding amino acid is attached (by aminoacyl-tRNA synthetases). tRNAs cope with the degeneracy of the genetic code in two manners: having more than one tRNA (with a specific anti-codon) for a particular amino acid; and 'wobble' base-pairing, i.e. permitting non-standard base-pairing at the 3rd anti-codon position. RNAcentral also lists the same sequence under 3 other names. The record is from RNAcentral. Lineage: Bacteria; Bacillati; Minisyncoccota.
GGCCCCAUCGUCUAUCGGCUAGGACACCAGGUUCUCAUCCUGGUAAGCGCGGUUCGAUUCCGCGUGGGGUCACCA